Molecule: ribosomal RNA, 501 nt
Filed under: uncultured bacterium
Lineage: Bacteria
Description: partial 16S ribosomal RNA
Rfam family: Bacterial small subunit ribosomal RNA
Source: RNAcentral
GACGAACGCUGGCGGCGUGCCUAAUACAUGCAAGUCGGGCGGACCGACCGAGGGCUUGCUCUUGUUUGGUUAGCGGCGGACGGGUGAGUAACACGUGGGCAACCUGCCUGCAAGACCGGGAUAACUUCGGGAAACCGGAGCUAAUACCGGAUAACACUGUAGACCGCAUGGUCCUCGGGUGAAAGGCGGCCUUUCGGCUGUUACUUGAGGAAUGGCCCGUGGCGGAUUUGCUAGUUGGUGAGGCAACGGGUCACCAAAGCGACGGUGCGUAGCCGGGCUUGGGGGGGGGCCCGGCACACUGGGACCUGGGCACGGGCCAGGCUCCUUCCGGGAGCAACAGUAGGGGAUCUUUCGGAAUGGGCGGAAGCCUGGCGGGGCGACGCCGGGUGGGCGGAGGAGGCCUUCGGGUCGUAAAACUCUGUUGAGUGGGGCGAAGGAGAGGCGUACGAAAAUGGGCGCACAGUGACGGUACCUAACGAGAAAGCCCCGGCUAACUACGUG